This 947-nucleotide non-coding RNA is filed under the name Felis catus (domestic cat). Lineage: Eukaryota; Metazoa; Chordata; Mammalia; Carnivora; Felidae. The record is from Rfam by way of RNAcentral.
UUCCAUAUUAAUAGGAUCCAUAUUAAUAGGAUCACACAUGCAAGCCUCCCACACUGGUGAAAAUGCCCUCUAAAUCAUUAAUGAUCUAAAGGAGCAGGUAUCAAGCACAUGACUGCCGUAGCUCAUGACACCUUGCUUAGCCACACCCCCACGGGAUACAGCAGUGAUAAAAAUUAAGCCAAGAAUGAAAGUUUGACUAAGCCAUAUUAAACAAGUGUUGGUAAAUUUCGUGCCAGCCACCGCGGUCAUACGAUUAACCCGAACUAAUAGACCUACCGUGUAAAGCAUGUUAUAGAGAAAACCCGCACUAAAGUUAAAUGUUAACUAGGCUUUAAAAAGCUACAGCUAACAUAAAAAUACAGCACGAAAGUAACUUUAAUAUCUCCGACCACAGGAUGGCUAAGACCCAAACUGGGAUUAGAUACCCCACUAUGUUUAGCCCUAAACUUAGAUAAUUAACCAAACAAAUUUAUCCGCCAGAGAACUAUUAGCAACAGCUUAAAACUCAAAGGACUUGGCGGUGCUUUAUAUCCCCCUAGAAGAGCCUGUUCUAUAAUCAAUAAACCUCAAUACCUCUUGCUAAUCCAGUGUAUAUACCGCCAUCUUCAGCAAACCCUAAAAAGGAAGAAAAGUAAGCACAAGUAUCUUAACAUAAAAAAAGUUAGGUCAAGGUGUAACUUAUGAGGUGGGAAGUAAUGGGCUACAUUUUCUACAUUAGAAUAUUUUCCACGAAAGUCCUUAUGAAACUAAGAACUAAAGGAGGAUUUAGUAGUAAAUUGAGAAUAGAGAUCUCAGUUGAAUUGGGCCAUGAAGCACACACACACUGCCCAUCACCCUCCUCAAGUGACAAAACUCAAAGACAACCUAUUCAAACUAUAAAAACCACAAGAGGAGACAAGUCGUAACAAGGUAAGCAUACAGGAAACUGUGCUUGGAUAAACAAGAUG